Long non-coding RNA from Halichondria panicea, 945 nucleotides. RefSeq lists it as uncharacterized. The record is from RefSeq and is a predicted model, not a curated record. Lineage: Eukaryota; Metazoa; Porifera; Demospongiae; Suberitida; Halichondriidae. The transcript has 2 exons.
UCCAUCAACCUCUUCCAGACUAGUUCCCUGCAUGAAGCAAUUAUCAACAAGUGAAAUUAAUGUCGUGUACCUAACAGUAGACUCUCGUUAAUCCGGUCACCCUUGGGACCAUGCAGCUUGGCCGGAAUAGCAAGGUGGCUGCAGCUCAGGAAAUAGCCGCAGCUUAAAAACGACCUUACCUCGAAUCUAAUGACUACUUUUGCGGUUCUUGUCUCGAGGAUAAUGUAGGAUAAUGAGGAAUCAUUCUGUUCUCUAUUUAAGUGUAAUCUAAUUUUAUUUGCUAAACCACACCCAAAACGUCAUAUCCGGCCGUAAUAUACGUAUAAAAUUACAUUGAAAACCUUGUUUGGGACAGCCAGCACUGGCCGCGCCGGUUAACGGAAUAGCGAGUGGCCGUACUUCAGGGUUCUUGUUGCAUACGGAUGUGCAGUGAUGAUCUAACUAAUGGUUUCUUUGUUGCUGUGUUCAACCGAAAAUUGAAUACAAGUGUUAAAACAAAGUCACAAACAUUUGAGCAGAAGAAACAAUUGGAAAGCCCCAUCCCCAAACAAAUCUGUGCAUCAGUGAGGAAACGCAAGAAAAAUAAAAAGGGAAAACAUCCAGUUACAAAAAAAUAGGUGUUACAGAAACUCUAAUCGUAUUUAGCAUGCUGAGAAGUCCCACAAUUUUACAGUUCGAUCAUAGGAACCUGAAACAAUAACUUUGUCAUUGAACUGCAGACAUGUGACGCCAUCAGUAUGGGACUUUAAAGUCAGCAGUCGAUUGCCCGUGUGAACACUCCAUACCUGUGGUUGAUGUAUAAAAUUAUAGAAGGCAGUUUAAUCAUGUAAUUCUAUAUCUUGCCUUCAUUGUCUUGUCGUCGGCUGCACUAAUUAUUUUCCAGUUGUCAGCUUGUAAGUGUCUGAAAAAAGUUUAAUUGUUGUGUGUGCUCACACGCUUAUUAAA